RNAcentral lists this ribosomal RNA (301 nucleotides) under uncultured bacterium. RNAcentral describes it as "partial 16S ribosomal RNA". It matches the Rfam family "Bacterial small subunit ribosomal RNA", at positions 509 to 807 of the family's 1533-position model. The record is from RNAcentral.
CAGCAGCCGCGGUAAUAUGAAGGGUGCAAGCGUUAAUCGGAAUUACUGGGCGUAAAGCGUGCGUAGGCGGUGAGUUAAGUCUGCUGUGAAAUCCCCGGGCUCAACCUGGGAACUGCAUUUGUGACUGGCAAGCUAGAGUGUGGCAGAGGGGGGUGGAAUUCCGCGUGUAGCAGUGAAAUGCGUAGAUAUGCGGAGGAACACCGAUGGCGAAGGCAGCCCCCUGGGCCAACACUGACGCUCAUGCACGAAAGCGUGGGGAGCAAACAGGAUUAGAUACCCGGGUAGUCCCUGUCUCUUAUAC